ACUCAACUGAGGGGUCUCAAAUACGACGGAACGCGCGUCCUGGAU
This 45-nucleotide non-coding RNA is filed under the name Schistosoma mansoni. Lineage: Eukaryota; Metazoa; Platyhelminthes; Trematoda; Strigeidida; Schistosomatidae. The record is from RNAcentral.